AACGAACGCUGGCGGCGUGGAUAAGACAUGCAAGUCGAGCGCUUGUUUUCCGGUACCAAUAUUGGGGAGCAGGAGCGGCGCAAGGGUGCGUAACACGUGGAUCAUCUGCCUGGAAGUUCGGAAUAAUCCCGAGAAAUCGGGACUAAUGCCGGAUGUGAUUGCAGGAUUAAAGCUGGGGACCGCAAGGCCUGGCGCUUCCAGAUGAGUCCGCGGCCUAUCAGCUAGUUGGACGGGUAAAGCCCACCAAGGCUAAGACGGGUAGCUGGUCUGAGAGGACGACCAGCCACACUGGAACUGAGACACGGUCCAGACACCUACGGGUGGCAGCAGUCGAGAAUUUUUCUCAAUGGGCGAAAGCCUGAAGGAGCGACGCCGCGU
RNAcentral lists this ribosomal RNA (378 nucleotides) under uncultured bacterium. RNAcentral describes it as "bacterial SSU rRNA". It matches the Rfam family "Bacterial small subunit ribosomal RNA", at positions 29 to 402 of the family's 1533-position model. The record is from RNAcentral.